This 505-nucleotide ribosomal RNA is filed under the name uncultured bacterium. RNAcentral describes it as "partial 16S ribosomal RNA". It matches the Rfam family "Bacterial small subunit ribosomal RNA", at positions 28 to 507 of the family's 1533-position model. The record is from RNAcentral.
GACGAACGCUGGCGGCGUGCCUAAUACAUGCAAGUCGAACGCACAGUUUAUACCGUAGCUUGCUACACCAUAAACUGUGAGUUGCGAACGGGUGAGUAACGCGUAGGUAACCUGCCUGGUAGCGGGGGAUAACUAUUGGAAACGAUAGCUAAUACCGCAUAAUAUUAAUUAUUGCAUGAUAAUUGAUUGAAAGAUGCAAUUGCAUCACUACCAGAUGGACCUGCGUUGUAUUAGCUAGUAGGUGAGGUAACGGCUCACCUAGGCGACGAUACAUAGCCGACCGGCGAGGGUGAGCGGCCACACUGGGACUGAGACACGGCCCAGACGCCUACGGGAGGCAGCAGUAGGGAAUCUGCGGCAAUGGACGAAAGUCUGACCGAGCAACGCCGCGUGAGUGAAGAAGGUUGUCGGAUCGUAAAGCUCUGUUGUAAGGGAAGAACGGGUGUGAGAGUGGAAAGUUCACACUGUGACGGUAACUUACCAGAAAGGGACGGCUAACUACGUG